RNAcentral lists this long non-coding RNA (1431 nucleotides) under Marmota monax (woodchuck). Lineage: Eukaryota; Metazoa; Chordata; Mammalia; Rodentia; Sciuridae. The record is from RNAcentral.
GUAAAAGAUCACCAACUCUUCUCAGAGCCUUUACUUAAUUCUUUUGCUGAUUCAUGUGUUGUUAGUGAAAUAUCCUUUUCCUUCAGAUUCUUCGUUAUAUAUAACUCUAUAUAGCACAUCAAAAGUGCUAGUCAAUGAUCACACUCAUAGAAUGAAAGAACCACAGUCUGCUAGAGAAGUAGGACUUUACAUUGGGCUCCAAUCCUUUAGUCCUUAAGACCCCAGCACCCCUGAGGGAAAGACUAUAGUGCACCAAGUAACUCAUAAAUCUUAGGAAAAGGGGGUUAUUUUUUCUUUUAUUGCAUGUGUCCAUUAGGCUUACCUCUAAACAUAACUGUACAGAAGGAAUACAAAAUUAAUCUAUUCCCUCACACAAUACACAAUGCCAUUAGCGCACAGCUUAGUUGUUUCACCAAGAGACCCAUGUGGCUAUGUGAAAGCCUCAUGGAAAGAGAAUUUUAAGAAUGCAUUAAUUUGCUGAUUCUUUCAAGUUGAGCAGCUUUAAUUAUUAGUUGAGACCUUUCUGAGCCCAACGCUCCUAUUAAUUUCCACCAACACAUUGGUCCUUGCUGAGCUCUCAGGCUGCACAGAGAGCUGCCUCUUUCUUCCAUGCAACCACAUUCUACAUCCUGUUCCCUAGUCUUUUCUCCUUCAGGCUGAACUGUGUUGGUUCUUUUAGCCAUUUUCCCCCCUGAUCCAUUUUCUGGGACUUUUAACACCCCUGUUGCCUUAUCAUAUAAACCCUGUCUGUGAUGGACCCAGCUCCUUUUUAAAAAGUGAUGGCUUCCACUGAAGAAGCACAUUGUGUAAUGCUCUGGUUGCUAGGGCAUUCUGACAUAGCUAAGCAGAGGGAGUGAAGAGUGAGAGUUAACAUCCAAACAGCUGCUGGAGAGCCCCAUGUGCUGUGCCCCACUUCAUGCUUUGGGCAGCCCCCAUCCUAAGUGAGAUCUCCACUGCAUUCCUUACUCUAGUGCUGUUCCCACGGCACCCUGAGAAAAGGAGAGAUGUUCACUUCUUUUCUUGAAGACCCUACAUCACGCUUGUUCUCUCCUUCCCUGGACUUUGUGACAAAGCUGCUGGAUAUCUGGGAGAGGGAAGCAAGCAAGAAGCCUCAUCAGCCCUUCUCCGGAGGUAUCACCCUGGCUUGUUCCAUAAAAUACCAAGGCUAGUUUCUGAAAAACAAAUGUUCCCCGCAGAGCUGAGGGGCAUUGCUUUCUAAGAUAGGGGUAGCUGGAACACUAAUUUGUCAUUAACAGCUGGGAUCUGCUUUGUCAGAUGUGAUAAUGAGGGAGUAUUUGAUGUAAGUUCUUGUGGAGGAGGAGGAUUAGCUCAGAGGGACAUUUUUUAAGAAAUGUGGUAGGCAGCCCCUGGGAAGAGUGUGAAAAAUAGCCACUUGCUCAUUUCAUGUGUAGGACACUUGAGGGAUUGUCA